ACGUUAGAGGGAUGUAUUAAGCAUGCAAGUCGAACGGCAGCGGAGGUGCUUGCACCUGCCGGCGAGUGGCGAACUGGUGAGGAACACGUAGAUAUCUGCCUUAUGGACAGGGAUAGCCGCCGGAAACAGUGAUUAAUACCUGAUAUGUCUUCGGAUAAAAGGUGCGUUUUGCACCACCAUGAGAUGAGUCUGCGUCCUAUUAGCUUGAUGGUGAGGUAACGGCUCACCAUGGCGACGAUAGGUAGCCGGCCUGAGAGGGUGAUCGGCCACAUCGGGACUGAGAUACGGCCCGGACUCCUACGGGAGGCAGCAGCUAAGAAUAUUCCGCAAUGGACGCAAGUCUGACGGAGCAAUCCCUUGUGAGUGAUGAAGGUUCUCGGAUCGUAAAACUCUUUCAGCAGAGAAGAAUAAGAUAGAGAGGAAAUGCUUUAUUGAUGACGGUAUCUGCAUAAGAAACACCGACUAAUUACGUGCCAGCAGUCGCGGUAAUACGUAAGGUGUAAACGUUGCUCGGAAUUACUGGGCGUAAAGGGUGUGAAGGCGGCAGAGUAAGUUAGUGGUGAAAUCCUGGUGCUUAACACCGGGCCUGCCAUUAAAACUGCUUUGCUCGAGUUGGAAUAGAGGUAGCAGGAAUUUCUAGUGUAGGAGUGAAAUCUGUAGAUAUUAGAAAGAACACCAAAGGCGAAGGCAAGCUGCUGGGUACCGACUGACGCUAAUGCACGAAAGCCAGGGGAGCAAACGGGAUUAGAGACCCCGGUAGUCCUGGCCGUAAACGAUGUUCACCAGACUUAUGAUAUUUAUAUAUAUUAUGGGUUGAUGUUAACGCAUUAAGUGAACCGCCUGGGGAGUAUGCACGCAAGUGUGAAACUCAAAGGAAUUGACGGGGGCUCGCACAAGCGGUGGAGCAUGUGGUUUAAUUCGAUGGUAAGCGAAGAACCUUACCUGGGCUUAAACUUGUAGUGACCGUCUGUGAAAGCAGAUUUCUCUUCGGGGCACUAUGAGAGGUGCUGCAUGGCUGUCGUCAGCUCGUGUCGUGAGAUGUUGGGUUAAGUCCCGCAACGAGCGCAACCCUUAUCCUAUGUUGCUACGAUCUUUUGAUCAGGACUCUUAGGAGACUGCCGAGGUUAACUCGGAGGAAGGCGAGGAUGACGUCAAGUCCUCAUGGCCCUUAUGUCCAGGGCUACACACGUGCUACAAUGGGAAGUAUAAAGAGCAGCGAAGUCGCGAGGCGGAGCGAAUCUCAAAAAACUUCUCUCAGUUCAGAUCGCAGUCUGCAACUCGACUGCGUGAAGCUGGAAUCGCUAGUAAUCGCGGAUCAGAAUGCCGCGGUGAAUACGUUCUCGAGCAUUGUACACACCGCCCGUCACACCACCCGAGCUUAUUUUACCUGAAGUCGCUGCGCUACAGUAGUG
RNAcentral lists this ribosomal RNA (1412 nucleotides) under uncultured organism. Its description in RNAcentral is "bacterial SSU rRNA". It matches the Rfam family "Bacterial small subunit ribosomal RNA". The record is from RNAcentral.